Molecule: transfer RNA, 74 nt
Filed under: Actinomycetota bacterium
Lineage: Bacteria; Bacillati; Actinomycetota
Also listed under: 1 other name
Description: Actinobacteria bacterium tRNA-Gly
Rfam family: tRNA
About the family: Transfer RNA (tRNA) molecules are approximately 80 nucleotides in length.
Source: RNAcentral
GCGGGUGUAGCUCAGUGGUAGAGCUCCAGCCUUCCAAGCUGGUGACGAGGGUUCGAUUCCCUUCACCCGCUCCA